This 445-nucleotide ribosomal RNA is filed under the name uncultured bacterium. RNAcentral's name for it is "bacterial SSU rRNA". It matches the Rfam family "Bacterial small subunit ribosomal RNA", at positions 330 to 792 of the family's 1533-position model. The record is from RNAcentral.
ACCAGACUCCUACGGGAGGCAGCAGUGGGGGAUAUUGCACAAUGGGGGAAACCCUGAUGCAGCAACGCCGCGUGAGUGAAGAAGUAUUUCGGUAUGUAAAGCUCUAUCAGCAGGGAAGAGAAUGACGGUACCUGACUAAGAAGCCCCGGCUAACUACGUGCCAGCAGCCGCGGUAAUACGUAGGGGGCGAGCGUUAUCCGGAUUUACUGGGUGUAAAGGGAGCGUAGACGGCUGGUCAAGUCUGAAGUGAAAGCCCGGGGCUUAACCCCGGAACGGCUUUGGAAACUGAGCAGCUAGAGUGCUGGAGAGGUAAGCGGAAUCCCUAGUGUAGCGGUGAAAUGCGUAGAUAUUAGGAGGAACACCAGUGGCGAAGGCGGCUUACUGGACAGUAACUGACGUUGAGGCUCGAAAGCGUGGGGAGCAAACAGGAUUAGAUACCCGAGUA